CUAGCUGGUCUGAGAGGAUGACCAGCCACACUGGAACUGAGACACGGUCCAGACUCCUACGGGAGGCAGCAGUGGGGAAUAUUGCACAAUGGGCGCAAGCCUGAUGCAGCCAUGCCGCGUGUAUGAAGAAGGCCUUCGGGUUGUAAAGUACUUUCAGCGGGGAGGAAGGGAGUAAAGUUAAUACCUUUGCUCAUUGACGUUACCCGCAGAAGAAGCACCGGCUAACUCCGUGCCAGCAGCCGCGGUAAUACGGAGGGUGCAAGCGUUAAUCGGAAUUACUGGGCGUAAAGCGCACGCAGGCGGUU
This 305-nucleotide ribosomal RNA is filed under the name Escherichia coli. RNAcentral's name for it is "bacterial SSU rRNA". It matches the Rfam family "Bacterial small subunit ribosomal RNA", at positions 283 to 580 of the family's 1533-position model. Lineage: Bacteria; Pseudomonadati; Pseudomonadota; Gammaproteobacteria; Enterobacterales; Enterobacteriaceae. The record is from RNAcentral.